GGAUGUGAGGGCGAUCUGGCUGCGACAGCUGUCACCCCAUUGAUCACCAGUGUUGAUCUGGCUGAUCUGGCUGGCGAGGCGGGUGUCCCCUUCCUCCCUCACCGCUCCAUGUGUGUCCUGCCUCCCGAAGCUGCGCGCUUGGUCGAGGAGGACGACCAUCCCCGAAAGAGGAGGACCGGCCUCCAAACAGGCUCUCAAGAAUUACAGUAAAAGCAGUGAGUCCAUUAACGUGAACUUAAAGAAAAAUGUGAAAUACGGGCACAUGGUCUCAGGGUCUUC
This 279-nucleotide small RNA is filed under the name Aotus nancymaae (Ma's night monkey). RNAcentral describes it as "7SK RNA (ENSANAG00000010755.1)". The stretch from base 1 to 191 matches the Rfam family "7SK RNA". From Rfam's summary of the family: 7SK was discovered as an abundant small nuclear RNA in the mid-70s but a possible function has only recently been suggested. Two independent studies have found that 7SK RNA binds the CDK9/cyclin T complex (known as elongation factor P-TEFb). Lineage: Eukaryota; Metazoa; Chordata; Mammalia; Primates; Aotidae. The record is from RNAcentral.